CCGCCCCUUAUCUCCCUAAUCCCAAUCCCAUCAUCCCACUAUAUUUCCCUAUAUUUCGGCAUCUUGCUUUGAUUGACGGUUAGUUUUAAAUUCUUGGUUCUCCAUAAAGGAAGAAGAUGGCGUCCAUGUUCGACAAGGAGGUGUCUUAACGACUAAUUGGUUCACUAUGUUGUUGUUGGCAGAAACCCUUAAUUUUCAUCUCUGUUGCAUGAAUAAAUAUCGGAUUUGGAACAGAAUAAAGGGGAGAAGCAUGCUAUACAUCUAUGAGGAGUAAAUCGAAGAAAACACAAGAUUGUGUAUUGAAACGAGUGGAACGGUUGAAGGAAAAAAUAACAGAGUUGGACCAAGAUAAGAUAGAGAAACAUGUUAUGAUGGAGAAAAUUGAAGAAGGUGCGAGGUUGUUUGCUGAAAUGAAUGAGAAAAUUCAAUUGUUGUUGCAAAACCUGCCACCAACUUAAGAUGCGUUGAAUUUUAUUGUAUUGCUUUUGGAUAAUUAGGAUCUUUAUGGUGUUAUGUUUGGUUAUGUUUGAAUUAUUUGGAUCUUUAUCGUGUUGCAUUUGGUUAUGUUUGGAUAAUUUAGGUCUU
Molecule: long non-coding RNA, 585 nt
Organism: Helianthus annuus (common sunflower)
Lineage: Eukaryota; Viridiplantae; Streptophyta; Magnoliopsida; Asterales; Asteraceae
Exons: 4
Source: RefSeq, a predicted model, not a curated record